GAUGAACGCUGGCGGCGUGCUUAACACAUGCAAGUCGAACGAUGAAGCCCAGCUUGCUGGGUGGAUUAGUGGCGAACGGGUGAGUAACACGUGAGUAAACUGCCCUUAACUCUGGGAUAAGACUGGGAAACUGGGUCUAAUACCGGAUAGGAGCGUCCACCGCAUGGUGGGUGUUGGGAAGAUUUAUCGGUUUUGGAUGGACUCGCGGCCUAUCAGCUUGUUGGUGAGGUAAUGGCUCACCAAGGCGACGACGGGUAGCCGGCCUGAGAGGGUGACCGGCCACACUGGGACUGAGACACGGCCCAGACUCCUACGGGAGGCAGCAGUGGGGAAUAUUGCACAAUGGGCGCAAGCCUGAUGCAGCGACGCCGCGUGAGGGAUGACGGCCUUCGGGUUGUAAACCUCUUUCAGUAGGGAAGAAGCGAAAGUGACGGUACCUGCAGAAGAAGCACCGGCUAACUACGUG
RNAcentral lists this ribosomal RNA (466 nucleotides) under uncultured bacterium. Its description in RNAcentral is "partial 16S ribosomal RNA". It matches the Rfam family "Bacterial small subunit ribosomal RNA", at positions 28 to 507 of the family's 1533-position model. The record is from RNAcentral.